Molecule: long non-coding RNA, 225 nt
Filed under: Vitis vinifera (wine grape)
Lineage: Eukaryota; Viridiplantae; Streptophyta; Magnoliopsida; Vitales; Vitaceae
Description: long non-coding RNA (VVIN_LNC008065)
Source: RNAcentral
GGGGGGCGCGUGAAGGAAGAGGAAGGAGGAGCAAGAGCUGGUGGGAGGACUUCUUCGCGCAGGUAUGGCCUUUCUUUCUUUUCUUUCUCUUGUUCGUUUCACUUUGUUUUUCCUUUGCUAUCAAUUGCUUGGCGAUGGAGGCGCGAUGCUGGCGGCGUCGGCGACGCGAGCUGACGGCGCGGAGGAGCUGAUGGCGGAGGAGCUGAUCGCGGAGAAGCUCCAGCA